RNAcentral lists this ribosomal RNA (100 nucleotides) under Prunus dulcis (almond). The record is from RNAcentral. Lineage: Eukaryota; Viridiplantae; Streptophyta; Magnoliopsida; Rosales; Rosaceae.
GCAAGGGGUUUUUUUUACUAGUGACUCCGAAGUUAAGAGAGUUUGGGCGAGAGUAGUACUAGGAUGGGUGACCUCCUGGGAAGUCCUCGUGUUGCAUCCC